CACGUCAGAGCGCUUUGCUGACGUGGAAACAAAUCGCUUCCACAAAAGCACGAUUUGUGUCCACAUCAGCAAAGUGCGCUGACGUGG
Molecule: non-coding RNA, 87 nt
Organism: Gossypium raimondii (Peruvian cotton)
Lineage: Eukaryota; Viridiplantae; Streptophyta; Magnoliopsida; Malvales; Malvaceae
Source: Rfam